UUCGCAAUGCCCGAAAGGGUGACGAAGCGACGCCGCGUGUGGGAAGAAGGCCUUCGGGUUGUAAACCACUGUCGGGAGUUAGGAAAUGUAAGGGUGCUAAUAGUAUCCUUACUUGACUAAGGCUCCGGAGGAAGCCACGGCUAACUCUGUGCCAGCAGCCGCGGUAAUACAGAGGCGGCAAGCGUUGUUCGGAAUUAUUGGGCGUAAAGAGCACGUAGGCGGCCUUGUAAGUCAGUUGUGAAAGCCUUCUGCUUAACGGAAGAACAGCAGCUGAUACUGCAAGGCUAGAGUGCGGAAGGGGAGAGUGGAACUUCUGGUGGAGCGGUGAAAUGCGUAGAUAUCAGAAGGAACGCCGGCGGCGAAAGCGGCUCUCUGGCCCAUAACUGACGCUGAGUGUGCGAAAGCUAGGGGAGCAAACGGGAUUAGAUACCCCGGUAGUCCUAGCCGUAAAC
RNAcentral lists this ribosomal RNA (452 nucleotides) under uncultured bacterium. RNAcentral's name for it is "bacterial SSU rRNA". It matches the Rfam family "Bacterial small subunit ribosomal RNA", at positions 365 to 807 of the family's 1533-position model. The record is from RNAcentral.